AUGUCAGAGCCAUUUCGCGUCUUUGGGCUAAUGAUGAUGGUCUACCCAGAAUCUCAAGGCUUGCAAGGUGAUGAUGACGAUGAUGGUGAUGAUGAUGACAAUGAAGAAUCAGGGAACUCCAGCCAUUCCGAGCUUCCUUCACCCUUGUGCAAGAACAGUGACAGCCCAGAUGACAAUCAGACAGAGUGUCUGGGAGAAUUCACCCUGCUUUCCCCAACUCCUGGGCACUUGGUGGAAGAUAAACAUGUGGGGUUGGCCAAGCAUGCGCUGGAGCUUGAGCCAGAAGAUCAGAAGUUUCAGGAACCAUUUUACAAAGACAUGGGAAUGUCUGACAGCUUGGCUGGAGAUGAGGAGCCCAGCCUGACCUAUCACCGUCCUGGGCAUCAGAGGUUGCCUGCUCUCCAAAAGACCAAUACAGCACCAAGUGGUUUCCAUGACUCUUUCCAGCACAGCUCAGGCCAGCACUUGGGGACAGAGGCCACUGCCACACAGGCCCAUGCCAGUGACCAUUACGUGGAACACCCAGAGAGCGCCACGGGAGCAGAGCCCCAGGUGCUGCUGGAGGAGGAUGGUGAGGACAAUGAGCAUAGGGAGGACAGGGAGUUCCCGUCCCUGCAGCCGACCUACGACUUGCUCUGGCAGGAGAACGGCAUGCUCAGGUCAGAGAACAAACUGCUCAGGAACGUGAACUUCAUGCUCAUGUCGGAGAACUUUGCACUCAGUCAGGCGCUCAAGGAGCUCAAGAAGGCCAGCACUGUGGUCGUGGAGGGGGAUGUAGUGCUCAGGGAGGAAUACAAUGUGCUCAGGGAACAGUGUGACAGGCUUGAGGGUGAGAAUGCUGCACUCAGCAGGGACAAUGCCAUGGUCAGGAGGAUGUUGAACACCUUCCAGAACAACUUGAAGAGACAGGCGUGCAUGGUGGUGAGCCUGCAGGAUCAGCUAAAGGCCAGCCAGGUGGAACGAGAGAGGGCAGCUGGGCAGUUCCAGUCCUUAGUCCAGGAGACUGAGUGUCGUCUUCAGAUAAUGAAGGAGCGGGCUCUGAAUGCCGAAACAAAUGUGGAGAGGCUGAAGCACAAGAUCUUUAUUCUCCAAGGACAGCUGGAGAGAUGCAAGCUGGAGAAUGAAAACCUGAGAACAGACUGGCCUGGAAGCAGUGAAGCACAACUUAGAGUUCACCAGGCAAAACUCCCACGAGCUCAUAAUGGGCAAAGAUGCCUCCCUCAGGCAGCUCCUGUCUCAGGAAUGCUGCCUGAUGUUGCUGAGGUCCUUGAAUCUACAAGAAAAAUUCUUAAAUUUUGA
RNAcentral lists this long non-coding RNA (1299 nucleotides) under Cyanistes caeruleus (blue tit). Its description in RNAcentral is "lncRNA (ENSCCEG00000005857.1)". The record is from RNAcentral. Lineage: Eukaryota; Metazoa; Chordata; Aves; Passeriformes; Paridae.